Long non-coding RNA from Anopheles coluzzii, 1701 nucleotides. RefSeq lists it as uncharacterized. The record is from RefSeq and is a predicted model, not a curated record. Lineage: Eukaryota; Metazoa; Arthropoda; Insecta; Diptera; Culicidae. The transcript is spliced from 3 exons.
UCAUCCACUGAUGGCGUCGAGCAUCGCCGAGGAUGUGAUCGAAUGCGGAAUAUUCGAAACGAGGAGCUUCAUUCCGGAUUUUGUUUGCAAUAAGCGCUGAACUCAUCCUCCAGCUUACAACGAACGGUCAACGGAUGAGGAAGGAGAGGAGGGACGGCAAAGGUACACGCAUAAACGUGCACACAUCAGCCUUCUCGGAGAACGAGAACACGGGAGGGGGAGACCGGCAACGUAUAAAACCUUUACGCUCCCUCGUGCGUUCGUGCGUGCGUGCGCGCGCGCGUCUAUGUGUGUGUAUGUGUGUGCAUACCUGCGUGCGUGGCUGUGUGUGUUUUUGCCGCUUCGCAUAACGAGAUCCUACGGGAUUACCUUGCGAAAAACACCAAGAGAGGGGGAGGGGUAGGUAUGUGUGUAUGUGUGUGUGUAUGUGUGCUUGCAUGCGUGCGUGGCUGUGUAUGUCUGUGUAUGUGUGCUUGCAUGCGUGCAUGGCUGUGUAUGUGUGUGUAUGUAUGCUUGCAUGCGUGCGUGGCUGUGUAUGUGUGUGUAUGUGUGCUUUUGCUGUUUGGCGAUCUCCUACGGAAUCACCUUGCGAAAACACGUGGGGGGGGGGGAGGAGGAGUGAGGUGUAUGUGUGCUUGCCUGCGUGCUUUGUGUGUGUGUUUUUGCGUUCACGUUCUACGGGAUCACUUUGCGAAAAACACCAAGGGGAGGAGGAGGUGUGUGUGUGUGUGUAUGUUUUUUUUUCUUUGCCGAUUCGCACUCUCUCGCAGAUCUAGUUGUGUGCGUUAGUUUUUUUUUUAGUUUCUUCGAAAAAUACCUGGGGGAGGAUGUGUGUAUGAAAGAAUGUACUUCAUAAAAGAAAGUGAAAAAUAAAAAACGAAUAUGAAAUAUGUUAAACGAAGUUUUAAGUGUGUCUGAACUCAUUGCAAUCCGAAAGAAAGCGAGGGGGGCUCUUGAAAUGUAGUACACAUGUAUGCAACAUGUAUCGUGUCGCCGCGACGGUGUAUCUCGCUCAAUCCGUUAAGCCUGAAAAGUGCUUCUAUCGGAUCGUCUAAUCGGGCGCCAUUUAAUCAAUCCGUUAGCAAAAAGUCGCAUGGAUUUUGGUACCGGGGAAACAAUUGGAGGGGGAGGAUGUUUCGGUUUGCUCCAGAAAUCGUGCGUGAUUUUGGUGUUCUGGAUUUGGUUCCAUGCCUGUUUGUUUUGGUGAAUUUGAAAAGGUAAGAAUCGUCAACCGAUGUAAAAGUGUGAGAGUAAGAUGAUGCUGAUGGUGACUGAUGCUUUUCUUUGUUUCUUUUCCUGCUUUCAUCCACUGAUGGCGUCGAGCAUCGCCGAGGAUGUGAUCGAAUGCGGAAUAUUCGAAACGAGGAGCUUCAUUCCGGAUUUUGUUUGCAAUAAGCGCUGAACUCAUCCUCCAGCUUACAACGAACGGUCAACGGAUGAGGAAGGAGAGGAGGGACGGCAAAGGUACACGCAUAAACGUGCACACAUCAGCCUUCUCGGAGAACGAGAACACGGGAGGGGGAGACCGGCAACGUAUAAAACCUUUACGCUCCCUCGUGCGUUCGUGCGUGCGUGCGCGCGCGCGUCUAUGUGUGUGUAUGUGUGUGCAUACCUGCGUGCGUGGCUGUGUGUGUUUUUGCCGCUUCGCAUAACGAGAUCCUACGGGAUUACCUUGCGAAAAACACCAAGAGAGGGGGAGGG